Zea mays is the source of this 305-nucleotide long non-coding RNA. RefSeq lists it as uncharacterized. The record is from RefSeq and is a predicted model, not a curated record. The transcript is spliced from 3 exons. Lineage: Eukaryota; Viridiplantae; Streptophyta; Magnoliopsida; Poales; Poaceae.
UUUCCUUAUGUGGCCUUUGUUCAGUUCCUUUCCUUGCUCAUUUCGUUUUCAGCUCAGAUGAUGUGUUUGCUCCAUCUCUCGCUCCGCUUAUCAUCAUCAUCAACAUCAUGAAAGUGACAGUGAUUGGACUUGGUUUCGUGAAAGCUGAAGGUGUGGUUAACUCCAUGACUAGGCAUGGAGACCGCAGAGAACUUCUCAAGGGCCCGUUGUAUUAUGCCUGUGCUAUAACUCUGACAACAAUAGUUUUCUGGAGGACAUCUCCCAUCUCAAUCGCGGUGAUCUGCAAUUUGUGUGCCGAAGAUGGU